GGAGGAGGACUGGAGAGAAGAGAGUGAGGUAAGGAGAGGGAGGAGGGCUGGAGAGAAGAGAGAGGAGAGAAGAGGGAGGAGGACUGGAGAGAAGAGAGUGAGGUAAGGAGAGGGAGGAGGGCUGGAGAGAAGAGAGAGGAGAGGAGAGGGAGGAGGGCUGGAGAGAAGAGAGAGAGGAGAGGAGAGGGAGGAGGGCUGGAGAGAAGAGAGUGAGGUAAGGAGAAUAAUAUCUCUGUUAAAUCACUUGAUUUGUGUAUAUGUCUGCGUCUAUGUGUGUGCGUGUGUGUGUGCGUGCCUUCGUG
Oncorhynchus tshawytscha (Chinook salmon) is the source of this 302-nucleotide long non-coding RNA. NCBI's taxonomy places the organism in Eukaryota, Metazoa, Chordata, Actinopteri, Salmoniformes, Salmonidae. The record is from Ensembl.